Molecule: ribosomal RNA, 547 nt
Filed under: Oligodon arnensis albiventer
Lineage: Eukaryota; Metazoa; Chordata; Lepidosauria; Squamata; Colubridae
Description: partial large subunit ribosomal RNA
Rfam family: Bacterial large subunit ribosomal RNA
Source: RNAcentral
UCCGACUGUUUGCCAAAAACAUAACCUUUAGCCUAACCAAUAUUAAAGGCAACGCCUGCCCGGUGAACAAUUAAACGGCCGCGGUACCCUAACCGUGCAAAGGUAGCAUAAUCAUUUGUUUACUAAUUAUAGACCUGUAUGAAAGGCAAAAUGAGGGCCUAGCUGUCUCUUAUAAUAAAUCAAUUAAAUUGAUCUCCUAGUAAAAAAGCUAGAAUUAAACCAUAAGACCAGAAGACCCUGUGAAGCUUUAACUAAACUAUUAAACCCCCUAAUAGCUACUUUCGGUUGGGGCGACCUUGGAAAAAAAAAGAACUUCCAACAAUACGACCUAACUCGUACUACCAAAUCAGGCCUACAAGCCACAUACGACCCAGCAAAGCUGAUAAUCGAACCAAGUUACUCCAGGGAUAACAGCGCAAUCCUCUUCAAGAGCCCAUAUCAAAAAGAGGGUUUACGACCUCGAUGUUGGAUCAGGACAUCCUAAUGGUGCAGAAGCUAUUAAGGGUUCGUUUGUUCAACGAUCAAUAGUCCUACGUGAUCUGAGUUC